UCGCUUGUUUUACAAAAACAUGUCUUUUUGUUAAUAAUUUAAAGUCUAACCUGCCCACUGAUUUUUAUUAAAGGGCCGCGGUAUAUUGACUGUGCAAAGGUAGCAUAAUCAUUUGUCUCUUAAUUGGAGGCUGGAAUGAAUGGUUGAAUGAAAUAUUAACUGUCUCAGUUUUAAAAGUAUAAAAAUUUAGCUUUUAAGUUAAAAGGCUUAAAUUUAAUUAAAGGACGAGAAGACCCUAUAGAUCUUUAUAAUUUAAUUAUAUUAUAAUUUAGUUAAAUAUUUAUUAAUAUAAUAAAAAUUAUUUUAUUGGGGUGAUAGGAAAAUUUAAUAAACUUUUUUUAUAUAAAAACAUUGAUUUAUGAAUAAUUGAUCCAUUAUUAAUGAUUAUAAGAUUAAGUUACCUUAGGGAUAACAGCGUAAUUUUUUUAAAGAGUUCAUAUCGAUAAAAAAGAUUGCGACCUCGAUGUUGAAUUAAAGUAAUUUUCGGAUGUAGAAGUUUGAAUAAUAGGUCUGUUCGACCUUUAAAUCUUUACAUGAUCUGAUUCCCAACCCGGA
RNAcentral lists this ribosomal RNA (555 nucleotides) under Cacarulla sp. Cacaru. Its description in RNAcentral is "partial large subunit ribosomal RNA". It matches the Rfam family "Bacterial large subunit ribosomal RNA", at positions 1796 to 2622 of the family's 2925-position model. Lineage: Eukaryota; Metazoa; Arthropoda; Insecta; Neuroptera; Chrysopidae. The record is from RNAcentral.